This 308-nucleotide ribosomal RNA is filed under the name uncultured bacterium. RNAcentral's name for it is "partial 16S ribosomal RNA". It matches the Rfam family "Bacterial small subunit ribosomal RNA", at positions 505 to 807 of the family's 1533-position model. The record is from RNAcentral.
GAGACAGCAGUAGCCGCGGUAAUACGUAGGGUGCAAGCGUUAAUCGGAAUUACUGGGCGUAAAGCGUGCGCAGGCGGUGUUGUAAGACUGAUGUGAAAUCCCCGGGCUCAACCUGGGAACUGCAUUGGUGACUGCAACGCUGGAGUGCGGCAGAGGGGGAUGGAAUUCCGCGUGUAGCAGUGAAAUGCGUAGAUAUGCGGAGGAACACCGAUGGCGAAGGCAAUCCCCUGGGCCUGCACUGACGCUCAUGCACGAAAGCGUGGGGAGCAAACAGGAUUAGAUACCCCCGUAGUCCCUGUCUCUUAUAC